RNAcentral lists this long non-coding RNA (4601 nucleotides) under Triticum aestivum (bread wheat). Its description in RNAcentral is "long non-coding RNA (TAES_LNC009151)". Lineage: Eukaryota; Viridiplantae; Streptophyta; Magnoliopsida; Poales; Poaceae. The record is from RNAcentral.
AUUUUUGAAUCAACGAGAGCAGUGUCGGCCCAGGUAUCUUCUUCCAUCUCUGGAUCCUAAACUAUAUAUCUCUCUAAUCUGCAUUGACACGCAGUAGUGCCGGGUACAAGUGUGUGGCUGCUCCAGUGCCACCACAUGCCCCAGUACCGCCCAAACGUGGAUGCAGGUGGACGUGGGCACCGUGGCCGCCACCAAGGAUGUAGGGGUCCCGCCACAAUCGGCGAGGACGCGGUAGGCGUGUCGAAAUUGUCAAAGACACAGGAGCCGUACUGCGGCCUUGGUGUUUUUCCUAAUUUCUUUAGGUAUGUGAGGUCGAUUUAAACUUCACAUAUAUGCUGAAAUUCAGACACCGAAGAACCAGCAGUGGAGUUAGAUGAAAUUUCUUGCGAGAGCUACACCAUUCUUUUUAGUACUGACUAAUUCUCAUGAGUACCAGUGGUGAAAUUUUCAGGCCUAAAUACUGGAUGAGAUUCUCAUUGCCGGCAUUCUUCAUGAACCUAUCAAGGAGAACAUUUCAAUACUAAUUGCAGCACAUGUUUUCUCACCACCGGCUAGCAAGAAGAGAGUAUGAUUUUCUAAUGCUCAGUGUUGUAAGCUUGAUUCACGAGGAGCUUCUCAAUGUUGUACAUGUUGUUUGUGAGUAACAGAAAUAAAUCAUUUCCUGGAAUCAGACGCUAUAUUUUCUGUGGGAAUUCGUUGACACAGUUCCUUACAACAGUGAGAAUCUUCGAAAUGGGCAAACCGCUCUAUGUAAUUCUAUCAUCCAUUCUGAUUUUGAGACAAGUAUAUCAUUUAUCUUUUUCCUUCUAGCAAGGUACCAUAUACAUGUUUUGAAAUUCUCCUUUGCCUUCCAGAUCAACCAAAUAGGCAUCUUUUAACAAAUGGAGGGAAUUCAUUUGUCAAUAUAAAUAGAUUUGUCACAGGGGAUCUUAUCUUAUUUCUUCAGUAUAAGCAAAUGAACAGUGCGAUGAAGUUAACGACUCUCUAUCCUUAUUCCUCUUAUUCAUUGUGUAUUUCCCCGUUUUAUACAUGUAACAAUGAUGAAUGAUGAUGAACUUAGACUUGGUGUAAGGAGAGUCAUUCUGUUUCCUUGAACAAAACAACCCUCUAUCCUUAUAUAUCCUAAAAGCUUUCAGACGAUACUCACACCAUAUGAUUCGUUGAAGCAUAGAAGUAUUUUUUUCACAUCUGUUACAAUCCAAUAUUUGUUAGUUAAUCAUAUUCUUUAUAUUCGCAAGUAGUAUAAAGUUGCCCCAAAAUUGGUAAUAUGAUUUUGGAUUAUACAUUAUAUGCCGACAAGGAGAUUAAUGCUGCCCAAUAAACUAGCAGUAUGAAAUAACCCUGCAUAUAUUUGUUGAUUUUUAAUUUGAGCCUUUCAAUUCAACUAAAAAAUUUAUUUGUACAAUAUUUACUGACUUUUACCUCUUGUUUUGCAGGCUAUCUGGAAUGAUUGCAUGUAUUAAUGAAGUAGUCCACGUUAGGUGGAUUGGCUCAAAAUGGAGAAGCAUGAUUGUAUUAAGCAUUUAAGCUCUAAGCAAUUUAGAAUGUCAAUGUCUUGGGGCUCCCUUGCAAUAUUUCAGAGAACUAUAUUUUUUCAGACAUUUUAUAUUGCCUCACGAUGUUUGGGGGAUCUGAUUAGGUAUUGUUUCUCUAUAUAUCUAUCCAUCUCUCUAUUUUAGUUGCUAAUAGAAUAAUGAACAAUUGAUAGGACUAAUCUUAUAGACUUGUGUUCUCCUCAGUCCGACUGUGUAUUUUCCAAGUUUUGUGCUAAAACGGGAAAAAACAUAUGUUUUAAACUUGUGACAACAUAUUCUCUGUGCAAAUUUUAGCCUUGUUGUUCACAAUUGAUGCUGCCUGUGAUUCACACUUAUAUUUGAGCUUAAAGUCUGAGUGUAUACCGAAUUAGGCUUUCCCUUCGGUCGGUUUAUGUCAGAGUUCACACUACAACACACAUUUCCUUUUGAGUCUUAUGUGAGUUACUUUUGAACCAAUACACCAAAUCAGGCGUUACACCGCUCAAACAAACUAGAAGAAAAUCAUCAAUGGAUUUAUCACAAUAUUAUAAAAAUACAAAUAAAUGUAUACACAAUUUUUUAACAAUAAAUGUUAUCAAAGAUUGAUGUAUUUACCUCUCCCAAGAUAGUAACAUGUUCUAGAAGAUGUGUUUUGUUGCAGUAGUACCUAAAUGGUGAAUUGCAUGUUCUAGAAUAUAGGCUUUUGCAUAUUGCAAUCAAGGUCUUUUUUUAUGGAAUUGAGUUUCUGGUUGUAACUUGUUCGAACAUUUGUUUAAAGGGAACAAAAUAUUCCAUGUGUUUAUCUUCAAUUAAUGGAUAAUAACAAUACACUUGCUUUUGUGAGAUGGUAUCUUAAGCAUAAAUAAUAAAGGCAUUUAAGUGUUAUUAUCAUUUGUAAUGUAGAGCACAAUAAAGAGUUCAAUGUUUUUGUAGCCCCUUCUUUAUUUUGUGAAUCAUAUAUGAUAGGUCUUCCUAUUAUACGGUCGAUUUUUUUAUCAAAAUACAUUGCGAGUGAAGGGGAUUUUAAAUCAUUUUUUUGUGUUAUUGGCUAUCUUUUCUGUUCAUAUUAAAUUCGAUAUGCAACCAGUACAAAUUUUACAAAGCCCGUGGCAGCGCACGGGCUGUCUACUAGUUAAACAUAAGAGCGUGGUUACAGAGCGCAUCCUGCUAGAUAGUAGGGAUAAUUAGCGUUCGUGGCCACUUAGCAAUGCAAGUUUUAUCAGAACUUACGACAAGGUAGAUCCAACCAUUUUCUGUUUUAGUUAUUAUUCUUUAUUCUUUUUUCCUUUUUUUCAAGAAAUUUCCUUCCUAAAAAAUUAUUCAGAAAUUUGCAAAAGUUGUUUAAAAUUUCACAAAAAAUUAGGCUUUUCAAAAAAGGUUCGUGUUUUUGUUUGUUCAAAAUGCCAAAAAAUGUUCUCGAUCCCAAAAUUUGUUUAAAAAUUCAAACAAAUGUUCAUGUUCUCAAAGCAUUGUUUAAAAUUUUCAGAAAAGUCCAAAAAGUUCAGAAAUUAUUCUCUUCUUUGGAAAAAAUUUCGAGAUUUAAGAAAAUGUUCAUGUUUACGAAAAACCUGAUUUUUCUUCAAAACAUCAAUUUUUUAUGAUCGCAACCACUUUGUAAUUUUUUAAUGGAAUUCAAACAGCCGAACAUUUAAAAAAAAUUACAAACAUUUUUUUCGUAUUUUCAGGAAAUUUCAAAAACUUUAGAAAUUCUUUGAUUCUUUGAAAAAUGUUCAAGAUUUAAAAAAAUCUUUAUGUUUAUAAGAAAAGCCAUUUAAAAAAAAUGAAGGUUUUAUGAUUGAAAACACUUUUUAAAUUUUGUAAAUAGAAAAAAAUCAAGCAUUUUCUACAAAAGGGAAUAUUUGAAGAUUUUUUCCAUACUUUCCUUACAUUGAGUGGAUGAAAAUAAGUUAAGCACGAAGAAACUUUAUAUAGUUGUUGCGCUGUUGGGCCUUGUAGGCCGACAACCACGUCUCUACUUCUAGAGUGAGCACAAAAUCAGCGAAGAAUAAUAUGUCCUGUAGCGGGAUCAAACCGACCCACUUUUUGCUUCGUAUAGACGGUACCGGCUGGGCUGGUUUUCGUCUCUAUCCAAGGUUUGUUUAUAUUGAUUAAUAGUAACACAUCACAGUUUUACAGUAAAUUCCAUCUAUUUAUAUAUGUUAGUCAUCAACAAGCCUCUUAGGGAAUUGAACAAAAUAGAGGAAGGUGCAUGUCCCAUUUCUAAGAACGAAGGAAUUAACUUGAUAAUUUUGCGGGUUAGACCCAAUAAAUAAGGACAUGCACAGAGAGUACAAAAAGAGAGGCCCCAUAAAGAUGGGAUGUGCGCUAUAAAAGAAAUAAAAGAGCGGAAUUACAAACAAAUCCGAGAAGAUCAGAUAAAAUAUGGGAUGUGUGCUAUUAUAGGAGAGGCCCUAUAAAGAUGGAAAAUGCACUCUAUAAAGAAAUAAAAGAGAGGGCGUACGGCAAAAAAAUCCGAAGAGAACCAGUAAAAGAUGGGAUGUGCGCCAUAAAAGAAAUAAAAGAUACAAUAAGAAUUAAGGCUGGUCGUAGUGGAGAGUAUCAUAUACUAGUACCAUGUAUAUGAUACUAGUGUAUGAUACUACAUCCUAGUGCAUAGUAUCAUAGAUUAGCAUCAUAGAUGACGGAGUUUGAGAGGUAGUCCACAAGCGGAUGCAGAUUGUGUUCUGUAUCGGCAGCAUCUGGAAGAUGGUGAAUCAUGUGUUAGGUUCGUGGUUCAUGGUUCAUGGCAGGUAGGUAUGGUUUCCUUCUCCAGCAUCUUAGUCGUGCUGAGCAGUCAUGAGUCCCCGCAAGCAGGAUGGCAUCAGUCAGAUGCCUCCACCACGGCCGUUGACCGCUGUGAGGCGCCUAAGCUCGGCACGGCCGUCGUCGACCCCCAUCAUGUCGUUCCCAACCAUCAUCGGUCGCCCCCCUCCCCCUACUACAAUUGCAACGACAUAGUUGCAAAGGGCGACGACGAAGGCAACAUUGCUGCUCAAUAUCAUCUUCACUGUAUUUUUUUGCAACAUUACCUAUGUUGUGAAAGUUUCUUCAAUCACCUAUGUUGCAAAAAGGUGAAGAAAAAAAAAA